Molecule: long non-coding RNA, 454 nt
Organism: Zingiber officinale
Lineage: Eukaryota; Viridiplantae; Streptophyta; Magnoliopsida; Zingiberales; Zingiberaceae
Exons: 3
Source: RefSeq, a predicted model, not a curated record
UUUCGUGAAGAAUAAUAUUGGUUAGAUCUGCAAGAUCAAAGGAUUGAUUAGCCCUGUUUAAGUGGGCCAAGAAGAUGGUAAGGAAUACAGAAGAUGCUGAUUGGGAAAAAGGGUGACCUUGUUCUUAAAAAAAGGUGAUGGGUGGAUUUGGUUUGGUUCGACAGGGGAAGCUCUUCUGGAGCUUAAGCUGGGUUUCAAAGACUCCAAGCAGUUGUUGUGGAGCUGGCGGCCUAGUGCCUACCGAUUCCCACCCUUGCUCAUCCUGGCUCGACGUCUCCUGCCACCCUUCCGACCUCACCGUCCGAUCAUUUGACUUUCCUUAUAUGUAGCUCGGUGGCAUCAUCUCCAUGAGUAUUGGCCAGAUUCGGAGGCUUCAAAGAUUGGCUUUGCACCAAAACAGCUUGCACAGUCCUAUUCCAAUUGUGAUAAAGAACUGCACUGAGCUAAGAGCAUU